This 437-nucleotide ribosomal RNA is filed under the name uncultured bacterium. RNAcentral's name for it is "partial 16S ribosomal RNA". It matches the Rfam family "Bacterial small subunit ribosomal RNA", at positions 29 to 507 of the family's 1533-position model. The record is from RNAcentral.
AGCGAACGCUGGCGGCAGGCUUAACACAUGCAAGUCGAGCGGGCAUCCUUGUGGUGUCAGCGGCAGACGGGUGAGUAACGCGUGGGAACGUGCCCUUCGGUUCGGAAUAACUCAGGGAAACUUGAGCUAAUACCGGAUACGUGCGAGAGCAGAAAGGUUUAUCUGCCGAAGGAUCGGCCCGCGUCUGAUUAGCUAGUUGGUGAGGUUAUGGCUCACCAAGGCGACGAUCAGUAGCUGGUCUGAGAGGAUGAUCAGCCACACUGGGACUGAGACACGGCCCAGACUCCUACGGGAGGCAGCAGUGGGGAAUAUUGGACAAUGGGGGCAACCCUGAUCCAGCCAUGCUGCGUGAGUGAUGACGGCCUUAGGGUUGUAAAGCUCUUUUCUUCGGGACGAUAAUGACGGUACCGGAGGAAUAAGCCCCGGCUAACUUCGUG